UGAGUCAGCAGCUGGAGAGGCAAAGGUAAAAAGAAAUUGGCUAGCCCAGACUCACACCCUUCUGCAUCUCUAAGGGGACGGUGCUCUCUCUACACCUCCAAACGGGGCAAGCUGGGGCUUUUACACUUUGAUCUGGCGAAGAGGAGUCUCAGCCGGUUUAUUUGCUAGCAUGGAGAGGAUUAUCGGGGAAUUGCUGCUCCGCCAGCCAGGUGAGUAUUUACACCAGCGAUGAGCCAGACCCCCAGCUGGUGUAGACAGACCUAAGUGGAGCUACACCUGAUUGACACAGCAGCUGGGGAUCUGCACCUAUUGACUCUCAUGGAGCUGGGGAUAUGGAAUUUUUAUUUUUAUUAUGUCACUGAAAAUGCUGGUUGGUCGUGUCGAUGAAGAGGACAAUGGGAGGGGGAAAUGUACGGUAAACCCGCCCUGAUUGCUACAUCUCGGAUUCUGGACCCAAUGGGAAGCACAGAGCGGGAAGGAGGUCAGGGUGGUACCUCUGCCUGGAAUUGGCACCGCGAGUCUGACACAGUGACAUCCAUCCGGCGAAGCACGGAGGAUGCUGGGACCAGGCUGCAGGGAGCCAUGGAGCUUGGCAAUAAGAGAAGGGGAAGGAAAUUGCUCUCUGCCUGGGGCGGCUUUGAGGUGCUACACAGAGAACUCCAGAUCUGCAGCUAACCUUGCAAAGAGGAAGCAGAGUGAGAAGCUUUCAAAGAAAUCAACAAUGCAAGAGCCUGGGUUCAAUCCCGUCUUGUCAUCCUGCAAGCAAUGCAAAAAUGUUCCCUACAGUUGAUUCUCCAGGGCUUCGCCCCGUCCCAUUUAAGCCAUUCCACUAAUGGGGUUUCCGUUGCUUCCCCGGGGGAGAAUGUGCCAUAGCCUGAUGGAAAUUGUCUCCUUUGCUCCAUCUCACCCCUCCAAGUACUCCCACCCCCUGAGUCUUGUCGCUUGUUCCCAUGACUCCAGUACACGCUGUUCACAGAAGUUACACAUGUUUUCCUCUCA
Molecule: long non-coding RNA, 999 nt
Organism: Caretta caretta (loggerhead turtle)
Lineage: Eukaryota; Metazoa; Chordata; Testudines; Cheloniidae
Source: RefSeq, a predicted model, not a curated record